CGGCGGGCGGGCAGGACCUCGCGCCCCCCACCCCCGCCGCGCCGACGGGUAACGGGGCGCCUCGCGGCCUGCGCUCCCCUCAGCCGCAGCGCCGGCCGCCCGGAGGUUUGUGACCUGGAAGAGGUGCACGAGUGGCUCGCCUGAAAACCCUCUCUGCAUCAUGAUUUUUGCUUGUGCUGUCCAGACUGAAAUUCAUUCAGGUAUGUCCAGUUACACUGCAAUCAAACACCUCUGCAGUUACACCCCAAAACAUAACUAGCAGGGUUGGUUUCAUGAUUAAAAGAGAACUUGUGUGGUACUGCUAGCCAAAAUAAGCUGCAUUUAGUCUUUCUGAGAGAUGGCAAAUGGAAAAUCUAAGGAAUUACCUUUGGAUUUGACUCAGAGGCAAUCCUGCUUUUCCUGCUGUAAACGACACAGUGAGUGUGCACCCACAAACACCGACCCGAUGCUAGAUGCAGCUCCAUGCCCACACAGCCCGGGCUGUGAUUCCUGUUUGCUUCAGCAGCCCAGUCUCUGGUGUGCUGUGGGCAAUGGCUAAUUCUCAGUUUUCGUGGGCAAUGAAGAUAGAGCCAACACUAAACAUUCUAUAUCUCUUGGACCCACACAGCUGGAAUCUUUUUCUGCUGUCAUUUUCUCGUCUGUGUAUUAGAAAAGUAAGGAAUAUGUGAAGGUGCAUAUAUUGUAUAUGUAACAUAGAAUUAUAAAGCAUUAUUAAUUAUCAAAUCAUUAAUCACAGAAUUAUUAAAUACAGACUGGAAUAAAAUACAGGCAUUUGUGUUGCAGAGAAGGCUGGUGUGCAAUGGGUGUAUGACAUGUGGAUCAAAUACCUGCUUUGUGCAUAAUGUUUUUCAGAAUUGGCAGGCUCCAGCUUGUACUCUGUUUGUCUUUUGAUCAGGCAUGCAUGCAGUAUAAAAGCACAUAUAACUUUAGAAAAAUGUCAAUAAAAUUAACAAUGAGAUAGCAAUGAAAUGGCAAAAUACUAACCAGGGAUACAUUUCUUGAGUGUUUUACAAGAACAGUUUUCUUAUCUUUUACUGGCACCACAAUUUUUAUCCUGUAAUCCACUCACUAGUACUCUGCUCAGUUACCAUUUCAUUACAUACUUUUAAUUAUAUAUAUAUAGCUCAUACUCCUUAUAUUAAAUUUUGUGGUCCAAUAGACUUGUUGUUCUAAUUUGGGCACAUUUUUUUCUCUAAAAUGUAAUAUGGCUUAAAACUGUUUUCUUUGUUUUAAAGCUGUACUGAAUUUACUGUUGCUGUGCCCAUUUGUGUUUUCUAAUUCACACCACUGCGAGCUUCACUGAAGCAACAGUCCCUCAAUUUUCUUCUAGUAAGUUGCUCAUAGGGAGUCUGGGGAGAGGCAGGCACAAUUCCACCUCUGAGGACCACCAAGGGAAGAUGACAACAGAGAACUUUCAAUAGCUGUUUCAAGUGUAUUUUCUUUAUUAAAACUGAUUAGUAUCUAAAUAUGUAGUACAUUUACCUUUCUUGGAAAGUAAAGGCAGCCACUGGAAUAAUGAAAACCUUGGCCAUCGUCAGCAGAGAGUCAGUUUGAACUAAAAAAACAUUAGCUCCUUUUAAUGAUGUACUGUAGCUUACGCUUUUUUGCUACUUAUUUAAUGCAGAGUAUGUCAAUUAGAGACAAAUCUGUCUACUGAAGAUGACAUCUUUUACUCUUUGGAUUUAGAGACGAAAUAAGGCUAGAGAAUUUCCAUGAUAUUAGACUGCCUCAGAAAAGCCCUUAUUCUAGAUAAAUCUGUUUAGCUAUAUCGUCUCAGUGCCUUUGCCCGUGUUUUCAAAAAAAAGGUGAUCAACCGCUCCCAAACACUAGCACGCUAUUAACAACGGCUAGUUGUGACAGGAAGGGAGAAAAAAAAACCUAUGCAAGCCUCUAGCUGGAUUCUGGCAACAGCGCUAACUGAGCAGGAGCAUCACAAAGGAAUUACAGGCCAGACAACUGGAACAGGAGAAACAUUAGGGCAGGAAUUACAAAUGGAAGGAAAUGUUAGAUUUCAAACAGAUGCUAGGCAGCAACCUGCCAGAACCAAAGCCCUCAAGGGUCAGUCCUACAGAGAAUGAGGACAUCUAAAGAAAACCCAAGGCAACACUGGCUCUCUGUUAUCUGAGAACAUCCACAAUGCUUCCGACAGUACUCCUGCGCAGAAAUAAUGUACACCUGUGAAAAACCACAAAGAAUCGGCAAAUACAGCUAGCGGAUUCACUUGCUGGCUCGGACAGCAUCUGAAGAAAGAACUAUUUAAAAACACAAGAGGUGGUGUUAUAAUGAGGAAACCAUGGAGAGCAGAAAGCUUAUGAUUAUUGACAGAAGUUGAUUAAGAAAUGGAUUAUUGUCUGUUAGGAUGUUGGAGCAUCUCCUGUCACCUCUAGCCUACGUAUCUUUAUGUAAAUUUCCUUUAAUUGAGGUAUUCAUUUACAAUCAUUAUUUUCACUGGUAAUGUGCUUUAUUUGCAUUUAAAAGCAAAAAGAGGAAAAAAAUUAAACACGACUAGCUGACCCCUGCCAUGUGACAAAGGCUUUGCUUUUUGUCACUCUGACCCAAAUGGAUUAGGGCCAGGAAAUAAAGGUCAGUCUCUUACCAGUACCCCUGUGUGUCACAUUUUUUAUUACAUGGAGUUUCCAAUAAAAAUAUUCCAAUUUGCGUCAGUAAUUAUGCAUUCUUUAUGCAUUUUCAUGUAGUUUUCUGAGUUUAUUUUGAAUUCAGAAAUUACCUUUGAGUGCCUAACCUAUUAAAAAGGAACCCUUUGUGAAAUAUCCUUCAGCAUUUAGAUGUAAGUGGCAGAUUUUUGUAGCUGUACAUGCUCUUUUUUGCCCUUUUAAUUAUAAGAAUCUACCUUUUCACAGUAGUUCCCCCAUCACUUGAGCCAUAAACCACCAGGACCGUGGUUGGAUUACUUUCCUUUGUGAAUUUAAAAGUUAUUUCCUUAGUGGGGUGCUGUGUGAGAGCUGUAUUUUAUUGCUGAAGCAGCGCACGGGGCAGAUGGAGUACGAGCCAGUCUUCCCCGUUACUGGAUGGCGCCUGAGUAAAUCCGGGGAGGACGUACCCCGGGUGCUCCUGCAGCACCCAGCACCGCGCCGAGACGCUGGGAGUCAGGUUCUAGCCACCAGCCGUGUCGGGGAGCUCACCCUCCUGCGGAAGUUGUUUGGGGAGGGCAGUGCCCGUUCCCGAGAGAGGCAGAGGGGCGAGGGUCCCUUGCGGCCGCUGAGGCCAGCCGCCUCGGCCGAGGGCCGGCCCCACGGUACCGCCGCGGGGAGACCCCCCCGGGUGGCGGGGGAUGCCUGGGCACGGGGCUCCGGUGGCUGUUUGUGCUCAAAGCGAAGAUAAGCUGCCGUAAAAGUUUCUGGUUUAGUAAUUUUAAUGAUAACUUUUUAAUCCGGUCAUUAUUUUCUUUGAUUGCUAAUACCUUGACCUCUGGUGACAGCUGCUGCUUGUGCCUGCUAAACUUUAAUGCAGGCUACAGUAAAGAACAUUAUGAUUAUUUGAAAAGGCAGGGUGUAAUGCAUUUCAGAUUAACAGUGAAAGAAAAGCUAUUCAAGUUAGAGGUUCACUUUGCCAUAUCACUCUCUAUGCUGCUUUCCUUAUUAUCAGUACAAAAAAAUGAAAUGAGAAUAGCACAUCUUUUAAUUUUCUUCCACUAUUACCUCUUGAUUUGCAUUCAGAGCUCCCAGAAGAAAUACCGCUGAAUUCAGAAGUAGUCUAUUUAAGAUGCGUGGUGUUUAAAAAUUGCUGGAAGAGGUUAAGGUACUGUAUAUUAUGCAGUUGACCUUACUAAGAAGCUAUGUUAACAAUUUAGUCUUAUAAUUUUCUGCCAUUACAUUUUGUUACUUUUUUUUUUUUUUUUUUUAAGCAAAAUUCAUUAUCUCUUUUGGUACCCCUGCAGGUUAAACCUUUUGAUUUCUCUCUAACUUAUUUUGUAAGAUUUCUAAAUUGUAUUUAAACUGCUUGUACUUAAAAGCUUGUUUUGCCCGUCUCUUUGAAAAUAGGGGUUUUUUUGUCUCUGUCGCUCUCUUUGUACCUGGUCUGCAGAGGCUGUGCGCCUUCACAGCAUUUUCCUUUGGAGGAAGAAACCCAAGCCCUCCAUCUGCAGAGUCCUGCAAAUAUAUUUGAACUUUUUUAUCUGGUACUAUCACGUCUUUGUGGCUGAUCAAGUUUGAACAAGAUGUCCACGGAAAAUAUUUUGGAUCCUGCCUUUACCAAACAGUAAGUAGCCUCCUGGUCUGCUGGAUUCAGCCUCCCAGGAUUUAACCUUUGUUCCCUGGCUCUGUCUAGCCAUGGCCAGCACUGGGCCUGGUCAUUGAGUGAAAGGACAAAUCCGAACAGAGCAACAGUAGGAAAAUGUGCCAGGGGAGGAGUGGAGCUGUGCCCCGUGUCGCUUCAGGCUCCGUAGCCCUAAAUAGAGGUGUUUGUGCUCGGUGCUGCUGCUUGAGCAAAAAACCGUGUCAGCAGAGGAACCCUGCAGUGCAGGACGUCUUCCAAAAUGCCCGAGGUGUCACCAUCCCGGCUCCGUGGUCCCCGGCAGCGGAUGUUUAUUAUGGACACUGCCUCCUGGUCACCCAUCAUCUAAAAACUACAGCUAUGACUGCUGGUAAAUAAAACCGGGUCAGGGGCUCUGGGGUCUGCGGCCGAGCAGUGCGGACCAGCCGUACGGGCGCUGUACGACCCGUGACCCUCAAGCACUGUCGUUAUUUUGAACCAGUUUGUAUUUUUUCAGUCUGAGGUGUUGAAAUAGGGAGGUGUUGAAAUGCUGUGGUGCAGCAUUUACGCUGUUGAGGCAAGCGGGGCCGAUGGAGGUGUGGAGCUUGCUGGGACCCGCUGGAGGGCUGCGGGGAGGGGACGGAGACGGGCCGGACAGGCUCGUCUGUAUUUCCCGCGGGCAGUGGUCCCUGGCGCGUCCCCCCACACACAAUGGCUAGUUGGCAGGGGCCAAAAUUAGGCCGAACAGUGUGCUGCAACCAAAGCAGGAUGGACCAGCAGCAGUGCAGGUCUCUUUUGCUGGGCUGUGCUGGCACAGCAUCUGAGCCCGCGCUUACAGACCGGCCCCGUCAGCAGGUGAGGGGUAUCUCUGCAUUGGAGCAGGAUCAAGUUGUGACUCGCAGCUGCAAGCACAGGGUGAAGACAGUGUUUCAGCAUUUCCUGAGAUCCUAUUCAUUCUUCACACUGUUGCAACAGUUGCUUAGACUUCAUACUGCAAGAAUAAUAUAUCAACAGCUGCUUUCCUGUUGUAAAGUCAACACGGGGAGAGAGAGAAGCCCAGUAUGGAUCCCAGAGCCAGAAGGUAGAUUUUUUUUCAUUUAAUCUCUAGGUACAUAGACUGUGAUCAGCACUAUAGCAACUAUCUGAGCCACUCGAAUGAGUUAGAUACAGAGAUAGCAACACUUGUUAUUUAUACAGCACCCUUUAUUGGAAAAUUUAAAAAUGCCAGAUACCAGUUUCAUUGAGUAGGUAAACUGCAUUCAUUUGUUGAUACAGAGGUGCCAUAAAACCUCUCUUUGUAUCACUGGGAUGUAUCUACACAACAGAGAUUGUCUGGCAACAAAUAAGUAAAACAGUUAGAGGUUCUAAGGAAUAAAAGAAUAAACCAAGGGGAUAAAAACAUACUAAAUGGAUGAAGAAUCGGUCCGUGUGCAGAGCCAAGCUGAAACCUGGCAGCUUUAUAAACCAGUUAACACAGAAAUAAAUGAAAGUCCAAACAACAGGAACAAAUCUGGAACAAAUAAAAUCAUGAACUCAUAAA
Long non-coding RNA from Tyto alba (common barn owl), 5752 nucleotides. RefSeq lists it as uncharacterized. The record is from RefSeq and is a predicted model, not a curated record. Lineage: Eukaryota; Metazoa; Chordata; Aves; Strigiformes; Tytonidae. The transcript is spliced from 2 exons.